RNAcentral lists this transfer RNA (74 nucleotides) under Deltaproteobacteria bacterium. RNAcentral describes it as "tRNA-Pro". It matches the Rfam family "tRNA". Rfam says of the family: Transfer RNA (tRNA) molecules are approximately 80 nucleotides in length. Lineage: Bacteria; Pseudomonadati; Myxococcota; Myxococcia. The record is from RNAcentral.
CGGGACGUGGCGCAGCCUGGUAGCGCAUUCCCUUGGGGUGGGAAAGGUCGCUGGUUCAAAUCCAGUCGUCCCGA